This 758-nucleotide ribosomal RNA is filed under the name Hoylesella nanceiensis. Its description in RNAcentral is "bacterial SSU rRNA". It matches the Rfam family "Bacterial small subunit ribosomal RNA", at positions 28 to 776 of the family's 1533-position model. Lineage: Bacteria; Pseudomonadati; Bacteroidota; Bacteroidia; Bacteroidales; Prevotellaceae. The record is from RNAcentral.
GAUGAACGCUAGCUACAGGCUUAACACAUGCAAGUCGAGGGGCAGCAUGUUGGUUGCUUGCAACCAAUGAUGGCGACCGGCGCACGGGUGAGUAACGCGUAUCCAACCUACCCAAUACUCAGGCAUAACCCGUUGAAAGACGGACUAAUUCCUGAUGGUAUGUAUUUUUCUCAUGAAUUAUACAUUAAAGAAUUUCGGUAUUGGAUGGGGAUGCGUCUGAUUAGUUAGUUGGUGAGGUAACGGCUCACCAAGACUUCGAUCAGUAGGGGUUCUGAGAGGAAGGUCCCCCACAUUGGAACUGAGACACGGUCCAAACUCCUACGGGAGGCAGCAGUGAGGAAUAUUGGUCAAUGGAUGAAAAUCUGAACCAGCCAAGUAGCGUGCAGGAUGACGGCCCUAUGGGUUGUAAACUGCUUUUAUGUGAGAAUAAAGUUAGGUAUGUAUACUUAUUUGCAUGUAUCACAUGAAUAAGGACCGGCUAAUUCCGUGCCAGCAGCCGCGGUAAUACGGAAGGUCCAGGCGUUAUCCGGAUUUAUUGGGUUUAAAGGGUGCGUAGGCCGUUUGAUAAGCGUGCUGUGAAAUAUAGUGGCUCAACCUCUAUCGUGCAGCGCGAACUGUUGAACUUGAGUGCGUAGUAGGUAGGCGGAAUUCGUGGUGUAGCGGUGAAAUGCUUAGAUAUCACGAAGAACUCCGAUUGCGAAGGCAGCUUACCGUAACGUUACUGACGCUUAAGCACGAAGGUGCGGGUAUCGAACAGG